RNAcentral lists this ribosomal RNA (344 nucleotides) under Escherichia coli. RNAcentral describes it as "partial 23S ribosomal RNA". It matches the Rfam family "Bacterial large subunit ribosomal RNA", at positions 614 to 959 of the family's 2925-position model. Lineage: Bacteria; Pseudomonadati; Pseudomonadota; Gammaproteobacteria; Enterobacterales; Enterobacteriaceae. The record is from RNAcentral.
AAUGGGUCAGCGACUUAUAUUCUGUAGCAAGGUUAACCGAAUAGGGGAGCCGAAGGGAAACCGAGUCUUAACUGGGCGUUAAGUUGCAGGGUAUAGACCCGAAACCCGGUGAUCUAGCCAUGGGCAGGUUGAAGGUUGGGUAACACUAACUGGAGGACCGAACCGACUAAUGUUGAAAAAUUAGCGGAUGACUUGUGGCUGGGGGUGAAAGGCCAAUCAAACCGGGAGAUAGCUGGUUCUCCCCGAAAGCUAUUUAGGUAGCGCCUCGUGAAUUCAUCUCCGGGGGUAGAGCACUGUUUCGGCAAGGGGGUCAUCCCGACUUACCAACCCGAUGCAAACUGCGA